UACGUAGGUGACAAGCGUUGUCCGGAUUUACUGGGCGUAAAGAGCGCGCAGGCGGUCGUUCAAGUCGAGUGUGAAAGCCCCCGGCUCAACUAGGGAGGGUCACUCGAUACUGAUCGACUCGAAGGCAGGAGAGGGUAGUGGAAUUCCCGGUGUAGUGGUGAAAUGCGUAGAUAUCGGGAGGAACACCAGUGGCGAAGGCGACUACCUGGCCUGUUCUUGACGCUGAGGCGCGAAAGCUAGGGGAGCAAACGGG
RNAcentral lists this ribosomal RNA (253 nucleotides) under uncultured bacterium. RNAcentral describes it as "partial 16S ribosomal RNA". It matches the Rfam family "Bacterial small subunit ribosomal RNA", at positions 524 to 776 of the family's 1533-position model. The record is from RNAcentral.